This is a long non-coding RNA of Centropristis striata (black sea bass), 1355 nucleotides long. RefSeq lists it as uncharacterized. Lineage: Eukaryota; Metazoa; Chordata; Actinopteri; Perciformes; Serranidae. The transcript is spliced from 2 exons. The record is from RefSeq and is a predicted model, not a curated record.
GUUUGUUAUUGGUGGAACUCUGUGUACCUCGAUAUAGCUCUGUUAAGCCCAUCCGUUGUUUUAGCUGAAUAGUCUGUAGGAACGUCUUGUUCAAUUAGAAAAACAACAACUUUGGACCUUAUAAAGCUUCUCUACCAUUCAUUUUGUUUCCCUUUUUUCUCCUGUUUAAUGUGCCCUGCUGCUGUUUCCAGUGCAGUCCUACCUGUUAGCUGCGAUGUAACACAUGAACAGGAUGCUGGCGUACAUGUUGAGGUAGAAGGCAGAGGCACCAAAGUUGCAGUAGACCCGUCGGAUGAAGACAGAGCUGCUGGCGUAGUUGGUGAUUCGGAGUGGCAGACAGAGGCUGAUCAGGAAGUCGGCGGCUGACAGGUUCUUCAGGUAGAUGGUCACGCUGCUGGACACCUGCUGCUGAGCUCGGCAGAAAUAAACCUUCAGGGUGAAACCGUUGAGGAGCAAACCCACCUGCAGAGGAGACAGAGACCGGAUUUACAGUCUGGAGUUGAUUUGAUAUUUAUUGGGUCAGUUCAAACAACAAAUCCUUUCCUCAGACAGAGAAAGAGACUCACCAGAAACACCACAGUGUAGACCAGCAGGAAGAAGAUGUGGGCCGAGGUGUCGACCUGAUCACAGACAGUCGAACUGCUUCCAUUCGUCAGGUUGAAUUCUGAGGAUUGGUUGAAGAAGGGAGUCACUCCCACUCCUCCAUGUUCCUGCAUGUUUCUAGACGUUCCAAGAGAGUUUAGUGAAUGAUGUGUUGGUUCAAACAUCAUCUUUCUGCAUGUAGGAACUGUUUGAAGCUGAUAGAGAAGUGACAGAUCACCACAGCCGUAGCAGAGAAAGCCUCAACAGCACGAACACUAAAAUACACCACAGGUAGCCCAAAGAGCUCGACCUAAAAGAACAUUUAAAUCUGACAUCUCUGCUGGCCAGUCACAUGAUGUACCAGAGUCUAGAAUCAGACCUCAGUACCCUGGUUGUAAAGCUGCUCUUAAGGCUGCCAACUGCACAUUUCAUCUAGAAAAAACUGUGAUACGAUGUCUAAUAACAUAAAUAGUAUCAAUCUGUUUAUUAAUGCCUUAGAGGGAAACCUGCUGGUUUUGCUUACAAGCAUUACAGGUAAGAGGUUAAAACUAAAGUACAGACUGCACAUGAACAUUGCAAACAUCUGUCAGUCUGUGAAAGAUUUUGAGAAAAUGUCACAUGAGCUUUUAUUUCUACAAAAAAAUUUUGAUCCUGAUACUUUGUAUUUUUACUGCCGAUUUGUAAUGCAGUAUUUUUACAUUGUAGUAAUUCUUACCAUGAGUAUUUCAAUACGUCCUCCCCCACUACUGAUUUCAAUAAAAAUCUAAAACUCU